RNAcentral lists this ribosomal RNA (372 nucleotides) under uncultured bacterium. RNAcentral's name for it is "bacterial SSU rRNA". It matches the Rfam family "Bacterial small subunit ribosomal RNA", at positions 527 to 896 of the family's 1533-position model. The record is from RNAcentral.
GUAGGGUGCAAGCGUUGUCCGGAAUUACUGGGCGUAAAGAGUUCGUAGGCGGUUUGUCGCGUCGUUUGUGAAAACUCACAGCUCAACUGUGAGCCUGCAGGCGAUACGGGCAGACUUGAGUACUGCAGGGGAGACUGGAAUUCCUGGUGUAGCGGUGAAAUGCGCAGAUGUCAGGAGGAACACCGGUGGCGAAGGCGGGUCUCUGGGCAGUAACUGACGCUGAGGAGCGAAAGCGUGGGGAGCGAACAGGAUUAGAUACCCUGGUAGUCCACGCCGUAAACGGUGGGUACUAGGUGUGGGUUUCCUUCCUUGGGAUCCGUGCCGUAGCUAACGCAUUAAGUACCCCGCCUGGGGAGUACGGCCGCAAGGCUA